AUGGCAGAAUCACUGCUUCUCCCUGUGGUGCGCGGCGUGGCCGGCAAGGCCGCAGACACUCUGGUCCAGACCGUGACCCGCAUGUGUGGCCUCGAUGAUGACCGCCAAUCGCUGGAGCGCCAUCUGCUAGCCAUCGAGUGCAAGCUGGCCAACGCGGAGGAAAGGAGCCAGACGAAUGUCUACCUCAAGAGCUGGAUGGAGAAGCUCAAGGCCAUCACCUACGACGCUGACGACGUCAUCGACAAUUUCCAGUACAAGGCACUGCGCCGCAAUGCUCAGAUCGGCAAUUCCAACCCCCGCACGAUACUCGACUAUGUCACCCACCACAGUCCACUGCUCUUCCGUUUCGCCAUGAGCGGGAAGCUUAAGUCUGUCCUCGAGAAGAUCAAUAACUUAGUGGAGGAGAUGAACAAGUUUGGCCUUGAGAAUUCUGUCCAUCGAGAGGAGCCGCAAUAUCGUUGGCGGCAGACGCACUCCAGGCUGGAUGAGUUUACCAAGAUAUUUGGAAGAGACCAUGAAAAGGAUGGGGUGGUGAAGGUGCUGCUAGACCAACGAGAUCAGAGGAAGGUGCAAGUGCUGCCCAUCUUUGGUAUGGGAGGUCUUGGCAAGACGGCACUUGCUAAGAUGGUGUACAAUGAACAAGUGGUCCAACAACAUUUCUAG
Molecule: ribosomal RNA, 663 nt
Filed under: Triticum aestivum (bread wheat)
Lineage: Eukaryota; Viridiplantae; Streptophyta; Magnoliopsida; Poales; Poaceae
Description: partial small subunit ribosomal RNA
Source: RNAcentral